Molecule: ribosomal RNA, 254 nt
Filed under: uncultured bacterium
Lineage: Bacteria
Description: partial 16S ribosomal RNA
Rfam family: Bacterial small subunit ribosomal RNA
Source: RNAcentral
UACAGAGGGGGCAAGCGUUGUUCGGAAUUACUGGGCGUAAAGCGUGCGCAGGCGGUUAUUUAAGUCAGGUGUGAAAGCCCUGGGCUUAACCUAGGAAUUGCGCUUGAGACUGGAUAGCUUGGAGUGCGGCAGAGGGAGGUGGAAUUCCACGUGUAGCAGUGAAAUGCGUAGAGAUGUGGAGGAACACCGAUGGCGAAGGCAGCCUCCUGGGCCAGCACUGACGCUCAUGCACGAAAGCGUGGGGAGCAAACAGG